Molecule: ribosomal RNA, 451 nt
Filed under: uncultured bacterium
Lineage: Bacteria
Description: bacterial SSU rRNA
Rfam family: Bacterial small subunit ribosomal RNA
Source: RNAcentral
UGCCAGACUCCUACGGGAGGCAGCAGUGGGGAAUAUUGGACAAUGGGGGGAACCCUGAUCCAGCGACGCCGCGUGAGUGAAGAAGUCUUUCGGUAUGUAAAGCUCUAUCAGCAGGGAAGAAAGAAAUGACGGUACCUGUUUAGAAAGCUCCGGCUAACUACGUGCCAGCAGCCGCGGUAAUACGUAGGGAGCAAGCGUUGUCCGGAAUUACUGGGCGUAAAGGGCGCGUAGGUGGGCGCUUAAGUCAGGUGUGAAAACUCCGGGCUCAACCUGGAGACUGCACUUGAAACUGGGUGUCUUGAGGGCAGGAGAGGAAAGUGGAAUUCCUAGUGUAGCGGUGAAAUGCGUAGAUAUUAGGAGGAACACCAGUGGCGAAGGCGACUUUCUGGACUGUACCUGACGCUGAGGCGCGAAAGCGUGGGUAGCGAACGGGAUUAGAUACCCUCGUAGU